AUUGAACGCUGGCGGCAGGCCUAACACAUGCAAGUCGAGCGGAUGAAGGGAGCUUGCUCCUGGAUUCAGCGGCGGAGGGGUGAGUAAUGCCUAGGAAUCUGCCUGGUAGUGGGGGAUAACGUCCGGAAACGGGCGCUAAUACCGCAUACGUCCAGAGGGAGAAAGUGGGGGAUCUUCGGACCUCACGCUAUCAGAUGAGCCUAGGUCGGAUUAGCUAGUUGGUGGGGUAAAGGCCUACCAAGGCGACGAUCCGUAACUGGUCUGAGAGGAUGAUCAGUCACACUGGAACUGAGACACGGUCCAGACUCCUACGGGAGGCAGCAGUGGGGAAUAUUGGACAAUGGGCGAAAGCCUGAUCCAGCCAUGCCGCGUGUGUGAAGAAGGUCUUCGGAUUGUAAAGCACUUUAAGUUGGGAGGAAGGGCAGUAAGUUAAUACCUUGCUGUUCUGACGUUACCAACAGAAUAAGCACCGGCUAACUUCGUG
RNAcentral lists this ribosomal RNA (484 nucleotides) under uncultured bacterium. Its description in RNAcentral is "partial 16S ribosomal RNA". It matches the Rfam family "Bacterial small subunit ribosomal RNA", at positions 30 to 507 of the family's 1533-position model. The record is from RNAcentral.